GAUAGAGAAACGCCGUGUGAGUGACGAAGAUGGGGGGAUCCUAAAACUCCCUUGUUAAUGAAGAACAAGUGAUAGAGUAACCGGGGACAUUAUCCCGGUAUGUAACCAGAAAUUCGAGGCUAAAUGUGUGUCACCAGCCGCAAAAACACGUAUGUCACAAGCGUUGUCUCCAUUAUUUGGGCGUAUAGCGAGCGCACACGGUUUUGCAAGUUUGUUGUGAAAGCCCUAAGCUCAAAUGUUGAAGUGCAGUUGAAACUACAAAACUUGAGUACUGAAGAGGAAAGUGGAAAUCCAUCUGUAGCGGUGAAAUGCGCAAAUAAAUGGAAGAACACCAGUGGCGAAGGCGGCUUUCUGGUCUGUUACUGACGUUGAGGCUCGAAAGCAUGGGUAGCAAACAGGAUUAGAUACCCUGGUAGUCCAUGCCGUAAACGAUGAAUACUAGGUGUGGAGGGUUUUCGGCCAUCAGUGCCGCAGCUAACGCAUUAAGUUCCCGCACGGUGAUACGACC
This 508-nucleotide ribosomal RNA is filed under the name Apilactobacillus kunkeei. RNAcentral's name for it is "bacterial SSU rRNA". It matches the Rfam family "Bacterial small subunit ribosomal RNA", at positions 385 to 887 of the family's 1533-position model. Lineage: Bacteria; Bacillati; Bacillota; Bacilli; Lactobacillales; Lactobacillaceae. The record is from RNAcentral.